This 2521-nucleotide long non-coding RNA is filed under the name Panax ginseng (ginseng). RNAcentral's name for it is "long non-coding RNA (PGIN_LNC007216)". Lineage: Eukaryota; Viridiplantae; Streptophyta; Magnoliopsida; Apiales; Araliaceae. The record is from RNAcentral.
AACAAACAUGAGACAGGGAUAAAACAACAGACAAAAGGAAAGGCCAUGGUUACUGAGAUUUUAGAAACCAAAUAUAAAUUCAAGAAAACAUAAUUCUUGAAAUGAAAUAAUAGAGAAUCAAAGGAAUCCAAAAACUGCAUCCGAACUUCCGGCUUCUUCGUCAGAUUAAAUCCCAGCCACAUAAAUAAAAAUAUAAGAAAUCUCGAGGAAACUACAGUUUAAACUAUCAUAAAAUGCAAAGUAAUGUAGCAUUUGUUAGAGGGUGGAAUUGUAAGACACUUUUAGUAUUUUAACAAUAAAUAACAUUGAAUCUGGCAAUGGUUGAUACAAAUAAAACCCAUUACUCCUAUAUCCAAUAAAAACUUCCUUGCAUUUUAGAAACUCCUAACAUUAAGAACAUUUACAUAUCUGAGUAUAUUAUAUAUACAUGUAUUUGUAUGGGCAGAAAGAGAUAGAGAAGAAAAAAUUACUUGGAGGUAGGAUGGCCCUUGCAGAGUUCUUUGCUGCAAGAAAGUGCCCUCUAGGUCCUUGAUAGUGAUUAAAAUAAUUCGACAACUAUAAAGAAAAUGAAAUACACUUAAAACAAUAAUUAAAUUUUGGAACAUACGCUUCUUUUCUAUACCUCCUGGACACAGGCCGUCACCCUAAUCAAUCUCGUUGUAAAUUAAAAUAUAAACUCUUGAAAAACUAAAGUAAUUCAGGAGCUUGUUCCUACUCAACAUGUGCACAUGGUGGCUUGCUCCUAUUUAACUUAUUAUAGGACAUUUAAAAAUGUAAAAUUUUAUUUAAAACAUUCAUCAAAAAUAGAGGGAAUAAAACAUGAUUUCCAACGAGACCCAUCUUCUGUUUUAGGGAUCAAAAAGCCAUAAUAUGCUUUUAAUACUCAUUUUCAUGCACCUCCCCUACAAAUGGAUCUUGAAGGUACUUUGAAGACUGGUGAUAUAAAAGGCUAUUUAAAUUUCCAAAUUACCCUUUAUAAGACCCCAACCCAAAGUUCUUUUUACUCAAAAGGUAUUGGGAAAUCAAAAGGUCAGAAAGGUAUAAACUUGGAAAGGUGGAAGGAAUAUUUAAAAAAUGGAUCUUGAACUUUGAUCUUAUCAAAGUUAAACCUUUCCUAUACAAUCUUAAUAGUAGGCAUCUUUUAAACAAUGAGAAAAAUUAAAUAUGGCGCUUUCGUGAUCACGCCUUUGAAACAAUGUGUUGCCUUCUUGGGACAUUUUCAUCUAACCCAGUUGGUUUCCCCAUUUUUAAUCAAAUAUUUAGCUCUAAAACCCCAAGAAAAAUAAAAACCAUAAAUUAGCUAUCUAUCCUUUAUACAAACCCAGCUGACAAAUCCAACACUACACAAACAUCAAUGCUCAAUAUUGACUAUAAUAAUAAUAAUAUCCAUGAAUCCUCAUCAGAUGCAAUUAACAAUUUUCAAUAAUUUAAAUAAUCUCUUAAUUCAAAUACCCACUGAACCCACCCAAGUAUUUUUUGUUUACCCAUCUUUUUUCUCAAUUAUUCGUUUGCCCCAUGAAAGUUGUAGUCCAAAAUUCCUAAAACCACCCAGUAUCCCAAAUCAAGCUUAUACAUUCUAUUUAAAAUCAAGCUGCUUCUGCUUAUACAUUCUACAUACCAAAAUCAAGCUUAUACACUUUCUUAUUUAAAAUAAAAUCAAAUGCAAAUCCCCGCUUAUCUGUAACUCUAUCAUACACAAUCUGACCAAAUUCAAGAAACCCAUACCAGUUUGUCACCAAAAUUUUACAAUCAUAAUUUCUAAAAAAGCAACUCAAAGUUCUUUUUACUCAUUAUAAUGCCCAUGACUCCAAUCUAUAACUCUACCAUACACAAUCUGACCAAAUUCAAGAAACCCAUAUCAGUUUGUCACCAAAAUUUUAUAAUCAUAAUUUCCAAAAAAGCAACCCAAAGUUCUUUUUACUCAUUAUAAUGCCCAUGACUCCUAUCUGUAACUCUAUCAUGCACAAUCUGACCAAAUUCAAGAAACCCAGAUCAGUUUGUCACCAAAAAAACAUGUCAAGAUACCCACUUAUGACCAAAUUCAUAAUUUCCAAAAAAACAAAUCACCAAAGCCAAGGAAUAUAGUAUAAAUAUCAAAAUAGACCUCUACGUCAUGGCAUAUGGCAAGUUACCCACAUAAAGCCUGUCAGCUUCAAUUUCAUCAUCGUCGUCAUAAUUUCACCUGGUUGGAUGAGUUCGACUCUGUCAAAUGCAACAAAAGCACAGAAGAGGGGAGAGGGAGAUAGGAGGGCAAAAUAGGGAAAUAGUUGGGCGGAACGGUGGUGCUUGCGAUGGAAAAUGGUCACUGGUAAAAAUGGAAGUUUUUACUAAGGGAUUUGUAGGUGGAGAAGAGUAUAAGGGAAGGAGAAGGCGGAAUGAGAAGGGGGCAGAGGUAUAAGGUGGGAUUUGGGUAGCGUGUAGGGGGGUUUGAUUUGGGUGGUUUUUUUGAGAUGAAAUCUAAACUGUUAUUAAAUUUUUAAGUGGGAAUAGAUUCAAAUGUUUAAUGGUUGAUUCACUUGAU